UACGUAGGGUGCGAGCGUUGUCCGGAAUUACUGGGCGUAAAGAGCUCGUAGGUGGUUUGUCGCGUUGUUCGUGAAAACUCACAGCUUAACUGUGGGCGUGCGGGCGAUACGGGCAGACUGGAGUACUGCAGGGGAGACUGGGAUUCCUGGUGUAGCGGUGGAAUGCGCAGAUAUCAGGAGGAACACCGGUGGCGAAGGCGGGUCUCUGGGCUGAAACUGACGCUCAUGCACGAAAGCGUGGGGAGCAAACAGG
Molecule: ribosomal RNA, 253 nt
Filed under: uncultured bacterium
Lineage: Bacteria
Description: partial 16S ribosomal RNA
Rfam family: Bacterial small subunit ribosomal RNA
Source: RNAcentral